This is a long non-coding RNA of Magnolia sinica, 358 nucleotides long. RefSeq lists it as uncharacterized. NCBI's taxonomy places the organism in Eukaryota, Viridiplantae, Streptophyta, Magnoliopsida, Magnoliales, Magnoliaceae. The record is from RefSeq and is a predicted model, not a curated record. The transcript has 2 exons.
UUAAGGUCUAGGUUUAAGUUUAUAUUAUAAGUAUAGGUUGUAAGUUUAGGUUAAGGUUAUAAGUAAAGGUUAUAGGUUAUGGUUAAGGUUUUGGUUUAGGGUUAGGGUUAGGUUAUAGGCUAUAGCUUUAGGGAAUUGAGAAUGGGUUUCGGUUAUAGGUUUGGGGUUACAGGUUUAGGUUAAGGGUGUGGUACCUGCAAAUAAAGAUAUAAACACGGCCUGUCCAAAUGGUCAGGCCCCUCCAAUGUUGUCCAUAGGAAAUGGACAGCUUCAUCAUGGUCAUAACAGCGGUUCCCACCUUCCAGGGACCCCCGCUCAUCCGGAUAGCUCCGACGCACAUCCGGGUCUGCUCCAUUAA